RNAcentral lists this long non-coding RNA (494 nucleotides) under Fukomys damarensis (Damara mole-rat). RNAcentral describes it as "lncRNA (ENSFDAG00000029510.1)". The record is from RNAcentral. Lineage: Eukaryota; Metazoa; Chordata; Mammalia; Rodentia; Bathyergidae.
CCAAAGUUGUGGAGAAAUGGCAACUAGGAGAGAACAGAGAAUGGAGGAAGGGAAUAGGGGCUAGUAGAGAGGCGCUGCCAGGGUUUGUAGCGUGCAUCCCACCGUCCCAGCAUGCAUUGUGCUAACAGCUGGCUUUGCUUCACAGCACCAAGGUGGAGAGGCUGCGUCCUGUGGCUGUUUCCUUAGGACAGGCAAACAAAUGAGGUCCAUAGGCCUCAGGUGCACACAUCUGGGCUACAGGAUUCAGGAACCUUUAGAAGCCCAGAUCAAGCUGGCUCCAGUGCUCUCACCUGGACCGGAAAAGAACUGGUGAGUCAGCAAACUUCAUCAGCAAGAUUGGGCCCAGGCCAGAGAGGGCCUUGAGGACGGCCACAAGGAGCGGAGGGUGGAAGCAACAGCAGCAGCACGUUUGGAAAGAAAGGCGAAGACAGAACUAAAUGCCAGGUACGAGACUAGAGGGUUUUCUGAUGCGGCCUCAUAUAAUACUUUGGUCA